This 440-nucleotide ribosomal RNA is filed under the name uncultured bacterium. RNAcentral's name for it is "partial 16S ribosomal RNA". It matches the Rfam family "Bacterial small subunit ribosomal RNA", at positions 338 to 795 of the family's 1533-position model. The record is from RNAcentral.
CCUACGGGUGGCAGCAGUGGGGAAUAUUGCACAAUGGGGGAAACCCUGAUGCAGCGAAGCCGCGUGAGUGAAGAAGGAUUUCGGUAUGUAAAGCUCUAUCAGCAGGGAAGAAAAUGACGGUACGUGUCUAAGAAGCCCCGGCUAACUACGUGACAGCAGCCGCGGUAAUACGUAGGGGGCAAGCGUUAUCCGGAUUUACUGGGUAUAAAGGGUGCGUAGGUGGCAGGGGAAGUCAGGUGUGAAAGCCCGGGGCUCAACCCCGGUACUGCAGUUGAAACUGUCCAGCUGGAGUGCAGGAGAGGUAAGCGGAAUUCCUAGUGUAGCGGUGAAAUGCGUAGAUAUUAGGAGGAACACCAGUUGCGAAGGCAGCUUACUGGACUGUAACUGACACUGAGGCACGAAAGCGUGGGGAUCAAACAGGAUUAGAUACCCGUGUAGUC